Molecule: long non-coding RNA, 450 nt
Filed under: Helianthus annuus (common sunflower)
Lineage: Eukaryota; Viridiplantae; Streptophyta; Magnoliopsida; Asterales; Asteraceae
Source: RNAcentral
GGGAAAGUUGAGGAAUUGACAAUGGCGUUAUCGGACCUCGUUUGGGAAGAUAUGGUGGCUGAUUCAACAACAAGAGUUUGGUUCUUUCAGUAGUUACUGCUAGCUUCAUUCUAAACAAGAAGCCAAUAAAGAACGGCCUCCAAAGCCAAAGCUCAGAAGCAAGGAUUUGAUUAAAAGGGGCUUCCAUUCUUGUAUGAUUAUUGUUUAUGGGGGAAUUCAUAUUUGUUGUUUGGCCAUAAAAAUUAAAAGCACAUGCUUUUGUUCAUCAAAACUGAUUUUUGGUUUCUGUUUAUUUUUGGUUCUUUUAGGUCAUGUUGAGCCCAGAUGCUUGGUAUUGGUUUAACUUCUUAAUUAAAAUGCCUGGUUAGGCAACGGCUAGAGCCGAAUCUUAGCGACCCAGAGCUAAAUGCCUUGUUCUUAUUCUUUUGAUAUUGAAAUUGUUGGAUUCGU